RNAcentral lists this ribosomal RNA (328 nucleotides) under uncultured bacterium. RNAcentral describes it as "bacterial SSU rRNA". It matches the Rfam family "Bacterial small subunit ribosomal RNA", at positions 8 to 334 of the family's 1533-position model. The record is from RNAcentral.
AGAGUUUGAUCAUGGCUCAGGACGAACGCUGGCGGUGUGCUUAAUACAUGCAAGUCGAGCGGACUAUGGGGGCUUGCUCCCAUAGUUAGCGGCGGACGGGUGAGUAACGCGUGAGCAACCUGCCCGUAUCUGGGGAAUAACACAUAGAAAUGUGUGCUAAUACCGCAUAAGACCACGAAGGGGCAUCCCUUUGAGGUAAAAGAUUUUAUCGGAUACGGAUGGGCUCGCGUACCAUUAGAUAGUUGGUAGUGUAACGGACUACCAAGUCGACGAUGGUUAGCCGACCUGAGAGGGUGAUCGGCCACAUUGGAACUGAGAUACGGUCCAG